AAAUAAAAAGGUUGGUGUAGUUGGAGGAAAACAGUUUGUAAAGCACUAUGGUGCUAUUAUCAUUGCAUAAAUGUGAGCAUUGAGUAUGUUAGGAAAGACCUUAUUAAAUUUGGUGCUUUAGCGCUGAGGGUGACCCUUAACUGAGAGGUAGACAGGGGACUACCUCUGGCUGAACACUGUUGACCCUAGCAUUACAAACCCCACUCCUGGUUUGCAGUGGCAUUCACACUUGUUUAAGGUAGAGGGGUCUAUUCCACCUCUCUUAGCAAAGGAACUCCCCCUCCAGCAAAGGUGUCCAACGUGGCUGAUGUCACCCACUUUAAAAUCGGUAAAUGUGGGAGUAUUCAUGGAAAGGAGGAGGUUAACAUUCUCUUGAAGAUAUUCAGGGAAACUCUUCCAACUGGGAAUUGAGAUGGGCAGCGAGCUAUGAUUUAAACAGCUAAUGGGUGUUAAUUAAAUACGCCACAUGGAAAGCUGGCUGGCUGGAAUACGGAUCAACUCUUCCUGUCUCUGGGUACACACCUAAGUCCUGUGGACACAAUAGUCCCACACCCCAAGUAAAGUAAGAGAGUUGAAGAUUAGAACUCGAUGACUGCAGUAUCCUGGGGGUAGGAAGAUGCCUGGUGGCCGAAGGGAUCUGUUCUGUUUUCUGUAAGCAGAGAUCCUACUACCAUCAUCUUAUUUUGUGGCAACAGAGACAAACAAAGUGGGAAUUUCCUGACCAGUGUGAAUGACAAAAAAAAUGAGGCAAAUUAUUGAGAAACUGAUGGGUGUUCAUUGAAGAGCAACAAAUAUGAUUUAUAAGCCUGAAGGACUGCCUUUAGGGGAAGAUGAAAGAGACAAGUCUCCCAGCAUGACCAUCAGCUCUAACUAACAGGGACUGGCUCAUCGGCCCCAAGUACUUGGAGGGUGUAAAUAGCAGGGAUGGAGAGAAAUUAUUUGGUGUGGUCCAGUGGGACAGGAGGACGAAUGAUGGAAAUGAAAGUCAAAACAAAGAUGAUUUAGAUGGCUGAGCAAGUCUCAUGCCCUAAUGGAGAGCUCUAUUAUAGACUGUGCUGCCCUGUCCCCUGGGAGGUGUGGAAGCCCCAUCACUUUUGCCAUUUACAAUUGGAAAAGGCACUAAAAAGUAGAUCAGCAUAUUGGAGAGGGGAAAACCCACCACAUGCCCUCAGAGGAUCAGGGGGAUGACUUAAUAGGUCUUUUCCAUCUCAAAUUACUGCAAUGUGGCUUAUGUGCUUGGGGACCUGAGCUGCUAGAAUAAUUUUCCAUCACCUGGGCUGCUUUUCUGUUACUACAGGGCCUCGGUGAAGAUGUAAUAGGUAUCAGAGAGCAGCUUCUGUGUUCUAAAUCGAAGCCUGCUAUGUAUGGAUGCUUUAGUGUGAAGGCAGAAUUGACUAGGUUAGGUCUCACGUUGUGACGUCGGUGUGCGUAAGUACAUACACAUACUGAUUGAGACCCAAAACAGCAUAUACCCACUGAGACCCAAGACGAAGGGAGAGGAGCUUGGCUGCAUUUGAAUGGUAGUUGCAUAAAUGAAAAGUUCAGGUAGUUUAUUCCCUAAGCUAGGAAAGUGUUUGAAUAAAACUCUCUCUUUAAAAAAAAAAAAAGAAAAAAAGAAAAAAAAUUAUUUGGCCUUCAAAAACUAGUAAGAAACAUUUACUGGGUAGGAACUGGAGGACCCAUGUUUUGAAUAUUGUUGAUACUAUAUUUCUGUCCACAGCUGCAGUUGUAUUAGCAACUGACACAUUCUGAAACUCUUGGUGGCCCAGAAGGACACACGUGGGCUGGAAGCAGGGGCAGUCUGGGGUAACAACUGCAGUGGCAAGGCAGGGGCACGACUUGGUCAGAUGGAAACUGGGGAAGGCAGAGAAGGGCUGGUGUCCCUGUGAUUGCUAGAAGGAGCACAGCUGUGACCAUAACAACCCUCUCAGCUAGAGGAUGACACAGAAGCAGAAGGACAAAAAUGAUGUGAAAAGAAAGCAUGUUGCUCCCAGUAUUUGCUGGGUAUCGUCUUAUGAUCCUGAGAGAAGCCAUCCUGUCCUUCUAGCUACAUGAAAUACUACACUUCUCGAUUAUUUAGGUGGGGAAUACUGAAACCCAAAGAAUGGAGUCUAACUCUGGGAUUGUACUCUGAUUCACUAUUCUAUGCUGCCCCGUAAACCUGACACCGUCUAAGGAAACUUCGCUUCAUACUUUAUCUCAUACUCUCCCCUGUGGCACCACCCUUCUGCGUCAGUAAGACUCCCUGACACUUAACUUGGGUAAGGAAAGCAGUGGUUAACUGAUUCAUUUGGUUAAUUGAUGGUUAACUUUGUGAUGCCCUAAAAUUUGCUUGAGUGACGAUUACCUCUGAAAGACAGAGUUACAGCCUGCGAGCCUGGGCUUCAGGUAUGGUCAACUAUCUCGCACGAUCUUGCAAUGAUGAGGCUUUAGAAGUGCAAUACAAUUUUUUUAAACCACAAAUCUGCAGCAGAGUAAUAACCCAGAGAUUUUCAGACAUGGAGAACAUUUAACAGAGCUUUGGCCAAAACAGGUGUUCAAGAAGUAUUCAUUGACAUAAAUGAAAUGGUCUGAUAGUUCAAAAGUGCUCUUCGAUAAGAAGCCAGGGAAUUAGAAUUUAUUAAGCAGGCUAAUCAGGUUUCAGUUAGGCAAUGACAAAGAUGCCAAUGCGAAGUUACUCAGAGAUCUUCUGGUGACUAAAUAACCUUAUGCUAGAAUCUGAAUACAUUUUUCUUUCAGAGCAAAACCGCAACUAAGUUGAAAGCACAGAAUACUGGUUUUGGUUCUCAAUGUCAAUAGGCAUGAAGCAGAGGUUUAAAGACAAACAAAUAAACAUGUACACCCAUGGAGAUUUAUCCAACUGAAAAUGGUACACACCUCUUUUUCAUCUGCUUCAGUGGCCCUUUUGCACACUUGAUUUCUGCAGGGUCUUUGUAGGUAUGAUGUACAACGGACUGUAUGAGGUACAUUGACUCAGACUUGCGAGUUCACUGUGGCACUGGCUGCCCAGGCCCUGGUUAACUAAAAUGCCACUAUAUUGCUUCCUUAUUUCCUUCCUUCAACAGCUAAAUCUGACACUGAUUUCAUGUAAGCAUUGUUUUGAGGCUCUGGGAUUUCAGCAAUAAAUAAGACCGUGAAAAUCGCAGCUUUCAUUAAUCUUCUAUUCUUCCAGUAAUUACCUAUACCUUGCCAGAUACAGCACAUCUAAGCAACUGCUGAAUGUAAAUGUUCGACAUAUUAGAAAUUGGGAAUUAAAAAUUUAAGAAGUAGCAAUAAUAUUCAUGGUUUGAAGACAAUCUUCAGAUACUUAUCAUGUACUUAAUUUUCGUGCAAGAAAGUCUUGUAUUAAAUAGCUAAAAGGGACAAAACACAUACAGAAAGAUAUUUAGGAAUCACGUGGGAAUAAAAGGCACAACACAGGGAAUACAGACAGUGGUGCUGUAAUCGUGUUGUGUGGUGACAGAUGGAGGCUCCACAUACGGUGGGCACAGUAUAAUGUAUAGACUUGUCAAAUCACUCUGAAAUGAAUGCAACAUCGUGUUUGUCAACUACACUCAAAUUAAAAAUUUUAAAUAAAAGAUACUUAGGAAUCACUAAAAAGUAAGAGGAAAAAUGUUUUGAAUCACUUAAAUAAUUUAAAAUGUGUCUUCCGUCAGGAAUGGAUGCUCACAACAGACAAUAUAAAGGAAAAACACUGAAUACAUAACUGGGUUUUGAGGAAAGGCCUAAUACAUAAUAGAGCUAAGAGCUCCUUUAGGAUUUGGGAAUCAGACUCAUCACUGAGCUGGCCUAAUGGGACUGAUUAAAGAUAAACCUGAGGGGGUGCCUGGCUGGCUCAGUCGGUAGAACAUGCGACUCUCGAUCUCCAGGUUGUGAGUUUGAGCCCCGUGUUGGGUGUAGAGAUUACUUAAAAAUAAAAUCUUUCAAAAAUAAUAAUAAAUAAAGAUAACCUGAAAAACUAAUAGAAGCCAUGGAAGAACUUGGUGAGAACAGUUCAAUGCAGGGAGAUGGGAGUGAUUUUACAUACACACUCCCGUUAAUCCAGCAUUAAAAGAAUAAAGAACUUGCCCAAAGUUAUGGUGUUUCAGGGCUAGAAUAAUGAAUUAGGCAACAAAUUAUUCUGUCUUAGGUCUAACCUAAAUGUUCACUCCUGUACACAACCAGCAUUAAACAUUUAUUGAGUGAUUGACCUAUGCCAGGCACAGUGCUAGGCACAAGGAACACAAUGCUGAAUCAACCAGGAUUCCCUACUUCAUGAUGGUUUUGGUCAUGACACAAGGAGCUAGAACACAGGCACGUAACGACAUUGAGGAAGCAGAAGAGAGGACCUUGCCUGAAGGAGACAAAGAUGGCAUCAAAAAUGAAAGAUACUUGAGCAGAGGUCUGAGGAUGAAUCGGGAUCUUCCAGAUGAACAUGAGGGGUAAAAGAUAAAGAAGGCUCUCCAGGAAGAGAAGAGAAUUGCACAUAUAAACUCCAAGGAAGGGAAUACGUUCACGGCAUGGUAAGAAACUCUCUAUGGUGACACAGAAUGACCUGGAUGUGUAUACGCAGCAAGGCAGAUCAUAAAGGGACAUGCACCUCAAAGUUACUGGAUUUUAUCCUGGAAGCAGCUGAAGAGCCCCUAACGCCAUCAGGUAAGGCAGCUCUGUGGUCAUAUCUGUGGGCAAAUGGACUGAAUGACGGUAAGACUGAGGACCAGGAGGCCAUUUCAGAAACCCUUCGCAAUAGUCAAUGUGAGAGAGAAUUAGCCCUGAACUACUGCAGCUGCAGCGGGGAGGGGGAGGACAGGGCAGGUAAGUGAGGUGGAAGCAAAGCAACUGGGUGACCAACUGGGUUCAGAGUGGAGGAAGAGGAAGAAGUCAAGGAAAAUUCCCUAGCUUCUGACUUGAGAAGAUACCUGCCUCCAUAUCACAUCGUUCUGUCAGCUUUCAAUUUUGGAUUCUGGCUUCCUGAGGUUGGUCACUGCUGCUUUGCCACAUUCCCUUUGUCCUAAAGAAAUGUCCCUAGGCGCUAUUGACUCUAGAGGCAGAAAUACAGAGGCAGCUGCCCCCACCUCUGAGUGGUGGUGAUGAGGGGGAAGCACCACCUGUGCCUCUCCCAGCCUCCUCUAUACAGCCCUCAGCAACCGACAGCAGCGACCCUUUACGUGAUGCUCUGUUUAAUUCUGUACAUAAAUAAUAAGGUCAAAAUACAGUUAUUACAGACCCCAGUAGUACAAGGCAUUAUGGAAAAAUAAAAGCCAAGUACAAGAGCAGGUUUCUUGAGAGUUCUAUAGGAAUGCCAUACGGUGCAAAGCAAAGAUUUUGUGGUUUGUCAGGUGUGAAUCUGACUUCUGGCUCCAUUACUGAUACUGGCUGUGUGACCCUGGAAAAUGGAUAUUCUUGAGACUUGGUGGCCUCCUCAGUAAAACAGAUAACAUAGCCUAUCUCAUCUGUAGAAAUUAAUGAGGUAAUAUAUGUAAAACUCCUGUUAGCACCAUGCCUAACAUCAUAGAUUCAAAAGAUAAUAAUAAAUAUCCUUAUUUCACAUUCCCCUUGACUACUCAAAGACCUCCUGCCUCCAAAGAGAGUCCAGUUAUCAACAAUGGGUAUUUCUCUACUUCCCUCACUCCCAUCCACACUGAUGUCUAUUGUUAGGAAAACGAAGUUUCUAAAAGCAAAAGAGGAUCAUACCUAUGUCAGAAACUGUUACAGUCCAUCCAAUACUCAUCUUUCCAUUUCCUCCUCAUUAAUGAAAGCUGAUUUUGCUGGGGGUAGCAAAGUACCAAGUUAAAAACAUUUCCCAGGCUCCAUUGUUUUGCUAGAGAGGUUUUGGAACGUUUCUGGUCACAAGUACUUUCAUUCUCCCUUCAUUCUCCUUCCUUUUUCCAACUUCCUAAAAACUGGAUACUGGUGGCUGGAGCUACAGUAGCCAUCUUGCAAACUAUGAGGAAAAGAUCAAGACUCAUAGGACAUCGGUCUUGACAAACUUGAGUUCCUGAAACAGUGCUUCCAUCACCUUCCCAGAGAUUUUUCAUCACAAGGGACAAAUAAAGCCCUAAUUUAAGCUGCUGCCUUUCAGGUGUUUAUAACUUUCAUUUGAGCACAAUUCCUGAUUUAAUCCCUUCAACCCUACUUUAGUAUGAUUUUCAAGGCAUUAACCAUAAUUUCCUUCCAACUGAAAAAGAAACAAACAUUUAUUGAGUGUCCAGUAUAUGUCAGACACUGUGUAUAUAGGACAUAUAAAUAAAAAUUAUAUUGACUCAUUUAAGUCUUACAGUAACCCUGCAACGUAAGUACUUCCAUUCACAUUUUAUAGCAAGGGGAUCCGAAGAUCUAAGAUGCUAAGUAUUAUCUAAAGCACCAUGCUGAUUCCUGGAGAAGCCAAGAUCCGAGCUCCAGGUCUGUCUGGUGAUAGCGUUUACCCUUUGGCCACACUCCAUGCUUCUGCAGGGGUCCUGUGAAUUCACCACUGUGAGAAAUCAUGACUCCCAAGACAGUGUCUCUAAAUGAGGCAGUCACUUUUCCUAGGUCUUCCAUACUUAUAUCUAAAAUCCAACUAGUAAACCAUCUAAAAAGUAUGUCUAGAGAAUGGAAAAAAAAAAGUGUGUGUAGAAGGAGGUGACAGAGUGACUGAUGGAGCAAGUAGCGUGAGUUACAAGUGCUGAAGGCACACUCUGCCUGAGAGCAGCUGACGCUCUGGAAAGGAGGCUCCUUUUACCUCUCUCCUCCAGUCAACAACCCUGAAGAAAUCACACUGACUGGAGAUCAGGGUGUGAGGCUGAGGCAUGGUAGGGACAUUAAGUAAGGUGCCCCGUGUCCAUACAUUGUCACAGUAAAAAACGCAUGUAUAAUUUUAUCACAUAUUAAAAAAAAAAAGGAGGAAUGAAAGAAAAUUAAAAUUGUAUGUGUGUGUGUAUACAUAUAUAUCUUAUAACCUAGUAUGUAUGUGUAUCUCUUACAACCUAGCAAAAAGCACACAUGAAAUAUAGACUUAUAUAAGCAUUACAUAAAUACACUUACAUGUGUGCAAAUUUUAACCCUUUCCUCUACACACUGACUCUGAAGCAGCUAACAAGAUUCACAAUACAUUUAAAAAUGAUGUACAGGAAAAAUAGAGAAGCGUGGAAAAGAGGAAAAUAAGUAUGCAAAUAUAUAUUCUACAGAAUUCUCAAUAAUUCCUAAAAUGGAGCUGUACAUUUAGAUCUGAGCUUCCUCCUGCCAAAGGAAAACAGAAAAAAACGAUGAGGCACAGACUUCACAAUGGCCCUGAGAUAAAGGGAAUAUUACCACCUUAGGAGAAGCAAAAUAUUUUCAGUUCAUACAAAAGCAAUAAGAAACCAGAAGACCUGAGUGGGACUUGACACGGGGGGAACUGUGUAAUGUAGUAGACAAUGUCUUAGUAAUUCCCUCAGAAUAAACGUCAUAGAGUAUUCCACACAACAGUUUCUCUGAGUCACUCAGUCAAGCUGAAAAGCGGUUCAGGGCCGGCAAUCUGUGCAGGAUGAAGGCAAUGAGAGAGAGAUACACUCUGACAGACUGGCUGGAUCUAGCAACGAAUCCCAGAACAUCUAGGUGAACAAACAGCAUGUUCUGGCAAUUACUCUCCAACCAAAACCAGCUUAAGAAGUAGGAUUAUGCAACAGUCCACACACACUUUUCAGUUCAGAAGUUCUGAGCAAGUUUUUAUGGGCUUUUUAUUACUAUGUCAACGAUACUUCCGUCCACCAUGGCUGUGCCCUCAGGUAGAGUAUAUGCCAGUCUCUCCAAGUGGCAUAAAAAGGGAGAAAAAUGUGGGGUUGCUAUUAAUUUAAAAAAACUUACAGCUUUUGGGUUUUACAUUAGGAGGUCCUAGUACAUAUACUCUCUAGUAUAUAACUGGUGGUUACAUAUAAUAGAGAAGAUUUACCCAUAAUCACACCCAUAAUGAUUUCUUAACUAAUUUAAAAGGCAAUGUGUGAAAGGCAAGUGCCUAAGGAUAUGACAUCCUAAAAGUGGACAUUAAACAAUCCUUGAAUGCGUGGAAAUUAAUGUUAAUUAUUGAACAGGGUAGAACACAGAAGUUCAUUUGAAAAAAAAAAAAAA
Ailuropoda melanoleuca (giant panda) is the source of this 8064-nucleotide long non-coding RNA. RefSeq lists it as uncharacterized. The record is from RefSeq and is a predicted model, not a curated record. The transcript is spliced from 4 exons. Lineage: Eukaryota; Metazoa; Chordata; Mammalia; Carnivora; Ursidae.